Unclassified non-coding RNA from Macaca mulatta (Rhesus monkey), 184 nucleotides. It matches the Rfam family "Metazoan signal recognition particle RNA". Rfam says of the family: The signal recognition particle (SRP) is a universally conserved ribonucleoprotein. It is involved in the co-translational targeting of proteins to membranes. NCBI's taxonomy places the organism in Eukaryota, Metazoa, Chordata, Mammalia, Primates, Cercopithecidae. The record is from Ensembl.
GCUGGGCGCGGUGGCCCACGCCUGUAAUCCCAGCACUACGGGAGGCCGAGUCGGGUGGAUCACCUGAGGUCAGGAGUUUGGGACUAGUCUGUAAUCCCAGCACUUUGGGAGGCCGAGGCGGGCAGCUCACCUGAGGUUGGGAGUUUGGGACCAGCCUGACCGACAUGGAGAAACCCCGUCUCUA